Molecule: small nuclear RNA, 100 nt
Organism: Anolis carolinensis (green anole)
Lineage: Eukaryota; Metazoa; Chordata; Lepidosauria; Squamata; Anolidae
Gene: U2
Rfam family: U2 spliceosomal RNA
About the family: U2 is a small nuclear RNA (snRNA) component of the spliceosome (involved in pre-mRNA splicing). Complementary binding between U2 snRNA (in an area lying towards the 5' end but 3' to hairpin I) and the branchpoint sequence (BPS) of the intron results the bulging out of an unpaired adenosine, on the BPS, which initiates a nucleophilic attack at the intronic 5' splice site, thus starting the first of two transesterification reactions that mediate splicing.
Source: Ensembl
CUCGGUUCUCAGCCUUUUGGCUAAGAUCAAGUGUAGUAUCUGUUCUUAUCAUAGAAUCAUAGAAUAGUAGAGUUGGAAGAGCCAUCCAGUCCAACCCCCU